UACAGAGGUCCCAAGCGUUGUUCGGAUUUACUGGGCGUAAAGGGUGCGUAGGCGGUUGGAUAAGUUUGAAGUGAAAGCUCCAAGCUUAACUUGGAAAAUGCUUCAUAUACUAUCUGACUAGAGGGCCGGAGAGGAGACUGGAAUUCUCGGUGUAGCAGUGAAAUGCGUAGAUAUCGAGAGGAACACCAGUGGCGAAAGCGAGUCUCUGGACGGCAUCUGACGCUGAGGCACGAAAGCCAAGGUAGCAAACGGG
Molecule: ribosomal RNA, 253 nt
Filed under: uncultured bacterium
Lineage: Bacteria
Description: partial 16S ribosomal RNA
Rfam family: Bacterial small subunit ribosomal RNA
Source: RNAcentral